Molecule: non-coding RNA, 1044 nt
Organism: Biomphalaria pfeifferi
Lineage: Eukaryota; Metazoa; Mollusca; Gastropoda; Planorbidae
Source: the annotation of a GenBank genome assembly
UCUCAUUCUCUAUGUUGUAUGUUUCUUUUUUUUUUUUUAAUGAAUUGUUUAAAUAGAAAAAAAAAAGAGAAUGCACUCGCUGGAUACUUUCAAUAUUUUCUUUGCAUUAUCAAUCAUGUUUCUCUCUAUACAUAAUCUUUGCUUAUAGCAAAGGAAGUUGCGUAAAUAAUCUUAUUUUAUAUUAAUUAUAAAGAUUAAGUUUGUAUUAAAGAUUUUGUUUUGGACAAAUCUGAUAAAAUAAAGAAAAAAAAAAGAAAUUUGUUUAAAAAAAAAAAAAAAAGCCAUCAAUUAAGUUGAUAAAAGUAAAUAAUGUUUAUAAAUGUACCUAUAUACCAUUGUAAUUGAAAACUAAUAUCAAAAUGUAAUAUCUUGGAAAAGAAAAGAUAACAGAGUAUCUGAUCUUUGAUUUUGUGUGUGACCCAUUUAAAAAAAAAAAGUUAUAAGUAUAUAAAACAUAUUACAAUUUAAAAUACUGAGAAGACAUUUAAUUAAACUAAGACAACACCUUUUGCAUACAAUAAUUGAAUCUACUGUGUAAAAUUUAAUCAAACUGCAAAGUCAAAAGUCAGGCUUAUUUCUUGAAUACUUGUCAAAUGUAAUGCAAAAUACAUAUUAAUUCAUAAUUUAUAAUGUCAAAUUUCCCACAAUAUAAUGUUUGUCAUAAACUAGUUUCAAAUGUCUGGGCUGUUAUCUAGUAAGUUAUGUUUCAUUUUUUCACUAAAAGAAAACUUUGUUAGUAAUGGAGUUUUUUUUCUGUUUCAUGGUGGUUGUAAUCACUUAAAGAAAACACUUGAAGGCAUUUCUCUGUUGUCAUUAUCAUUCCUUGGGCCAUUGUCUUAGUCAGAAUAUUUAACAACUUGAGCUUCAGUACAAUAAUUUACUUGUCCAUAAUUUAAAAUGUGGUUAUUGUAUUAUAGAUUGCUUAGAGUUCAAUUAAUCCACACAACAGCUACACUCUUAUCAUAAUAUUGAUAAACAUGAACUAAAGCCAACAAACUUGAAUUAUAAUGUCAACUUGUUUAACCUAUACUUCUACAUGUAAUU